GGAGCUGGCAGCUGAACAUGCCCGUCCCACGUUUCGGGCCCCGACAUCCUGACCUCUUCAAUCCGACCCGCUGCCUAAAUCACAUUCAAACAUUGCGUCCUGCCGCUUGGAGCCCGCCGCCGGCGCCCAACCGUUCAGAUCCGGCUCAGCAAUACUCGCCAAUGCCUCCUGCCCACCUUUCCGUUCAUUGUCCACGUUCACCUGAAAGGCCGGCAUGGCGUCACUCCCAUUGCACUGUGACGCAGCUUUGGUGGGGACCGAGCUCAAGACAUUUGGGUUCCGGAGGUGAGACGGGUGACCCCUGGCCAUGAUCAAUACCCUUCAGAGAUUGUCUGCCUGGAGUCAGUGGUCACAUAACCAGGACUUGUGAUCUGCACCGGCUGCUCGUACGACCGUCCACCACCUGCCCCCAUGGCUUCACGUGACCCUGAUCGGGGGAUAAACAGAUGCUACACCUUGCCCAAGGGUGACCUGCAGGCUAGCGGAGGGAAGGAGCACCUCACACCUCCUCUGGUAGAGAUGUGUCUCCACACUGCCACCUAGGAAGACAUGGAAUGUAGAACAUCUUGCCCAAGGGUGACCUACAGUCCAGUAGAGCGAAAUCUCUCUCUCUCCCUCGCUACUGAAAGAGAGAGAGCCUGAGGGAUGUCAAAGUGUUGGGAUGAAGAGUGGCUUAUUUGAUAAUUUAAACCCCAGAUCAUGGUCUCUUGGGGCUAUGGGGGGAGGUGAGGGGAGGAUUGAUGCUUUUGUGUAGGAGGGGUGAGGGUAGGAUUUUGCAUUCUGACGUUUGCAGUCGUUCACUCUUUGGGUUUUACCUGUUUCUACAUCCUCUGAUACUACACUGAAUCACUGAAGGAGCACCCUAAUGCCUUCACACUUUGCCAUCCGCACUGUCACGGUACACAGAGCCAUAACCUUCUCUGAAGGAGAACAUUCAGCCCUUUAGGGUCAUGCUGACUCCCAACAGAGCAAAAGCUAUCAGUCCGUUUAGAACAGGGUGAGACCGUAGUGUAGAGGUUAGCAUAACGAUACCACAUAACCUGUGACCCUGGUUCUAUUCUUGCUGCUGUUUGUUUGUUCUCCUUGGGGGGGCGGGGAGGGGGAACAACCUUCUGAUAUCCAAUCUCUUCAAUUAUUUCACUUUCUCUACGCCUUCUGCUUGGUCGGUUCCUCUUGGUUACACUACAGAGACGGCCGGACCCUGCCACGGGCGGUUUGGAGCUCGGCCAAGUGAUCUGGUGCUCUGCCCCUGGAGAGGGCGCGGGCUGCCUCGUGCGGAGGGCCAGAGACGGUGCGGGGGGCCUUGAACCGAAAUGCCGAGGAAGACUGACGCAUCAAGGCGAUUGCGGAGUAGGUCUCUUCGUGGGAGUGCUGAGUUUGGGCGAUCAACCCCCUCGGUUCUGGCGGAAGGAUGCUUUGGGAUUUCUGAGAUUUAUGUGAUUGCUGGACUGUAGUUUAUCUCGCUCCCCUUCGGUUCCCUCUGGUUUUCGACUGGUGGGCUGAGGUUCCGGGUGGGCAAUGUGUUGGUUUUUGUAUGAGGGAGGGAGUUGGGGAUUUGGGGUCUGGUGUUGUUGUUGGUUUUUCUGUGAGGGGGAAUCUGCUGAUUUUUGGGGAGGGGGUGGCUUGGUGCUGUUGUCACUGUUUGGUUUUGCGAUGGAAGGGGUUGUUGGGGUUGCUGUUUUUCACGCGGGGCGACCGUUUCUUUGUGUGAGGGAGGGGGUGGACCACCACUCCCUUUCUUAGGUCUUGGAGGCCAUCAGAGGGAACGCAGGCAAAUCUCUCCAAAAUUGGAGAAGGUCCCCUUGGUGCUGUCUUGCGCUCCCUGAACUGUCUCUCCAGCCACACCUGCCAAAGAAAUUCCCCCAAACCCGUCACAAAUCAACCUCAAAGCUGGAAAAGUCCCUGCUUUUCCGGACAAGGUCAUAAAUCUCAAGAAUGCUGAAAGUUAACAGGCCCCACCUCCAGAGCGAACUGACAUGGGCCAGCUCUCGCAUUGGGAGCUGUAGCUGACGGGAGCUACAUGAUCAAAGCUCGAUGAUGUCAUCUAAUGGCAUUACCUAUGACCUCAAAGUUCAAAGCUCAAAGUAAACUUACUGCACUGGACAGCAAAUUCUUUUCAAAAAUGUUGCUUCCUCAGAAUUUCUUCUGUAGUUAUGAUAGACGGCUUGAAGCUGAACGCAAAUAUGAUUGCAGUCUAACGCACACAAAAUGCUGGAGGAACUCAGCAGGCCAGACAGCACCUAUGGUAAAGGAUUAAACAGUCGACGUAAACGGGGCCUUCAGCAGUCCUGGAGAGGAAGGGGGAAAGUGUCAGGCUACUUCUAUCAAGCAACAGAUUGGAGAAACAAGAAACUGACUUUUAUUGAAUAUGAUGUGUUUAGUCGCACAGCGGGUGCUGGUGCUUUGCAAUAGUUUAACUAAGCUAAGAAUGUACGGCUGGUGAUUUUCAUUUGUACUCAGUGUCUGAGGCUUCUCACUGAAGUGCCCAACAAUUCAUUUUAAGCCAACUAGAAUAUAAAAAGCAAGCAUAUAAUGCUGAGUCAUUGGACCGACCACACUUGGAGUAUUGUGAGUAGUCAAGGGCCCUUUAUCUAAGAAAGGAUGUGCUGACAUUGGAAGGGUAAUUUCUAAAAUGCUGUUGGAAUUGCUGAGCUCCUCAAGAUUUCCAGCCGACUGAACUACGUUGAGUCUGUAGUUCAUCAUCCAGCAGGACAGAUCUCCGCAAAUCCAGGGGAGUCGCACAGCCUUCACCACCAAAGCUGGCAGCCCACCCCUCUCUCUGUGUGAAAAACUUACCCCCGACAUCUCCUCUGUACUUACUUCCAAGCACCUUAAAACUGAGCCCUCUCGUGCUAGCCAUUUCAGCCCUGGGGAAAAGCCUCUGACUAUCCACAUGAUCAAUGCCUCUCAUCAUCUUAUACACCUCUAUCAGGUCACCUCUCAUCCUCCGUUGCUCCAAGGAGAAAAGGCCAAGUUCACUCAACCUAUUCUCAUAAGGCAUGCUCCCCAAUCCAGGCAACAUCCUUGUAAAUCUCCAUUGCACCCUUUCUAUGGCUUCCACAUCCUUCCUGUAGUGAGAAUUGAGCACGGUACUCCAAGUGGGGUCUAAAUAAGAUCUUAUAUAGCAGCAACAUUACCUCAAGGCUCUUGAACUCAAUAGAGUAGUGGGUGCGGGGAAUGCACUGCCAGUGAAGGUGGUGAAGACAGAUACAACAGGGUCUUUUAAGAGACUCUUAGAUAGGUUCAUGGAGCUUAGAAAGGUAGACAUGGUAGGGAAAUUCCAGGCAGCUUCUAGAGUAGGUUACAUAGUCGGCACAACAUUCUAUGUUCUAUGCAAUAGCGGGGAGGGGGCAAAUUUGUUUCCCAGAAUAUCUCCCAGAAGGAGAUAUUCCCCACUCUGGUCUUACUUUUUCUCACCUGCUUAUCACCUUUCCCUGGGUCCCCCUCCUCCUUCCCUUUCUCCUAUGGUCCGCUCUCCUCUCCGAUCAGAUUCCUUCUUCUCCAGCCCUUGACCUUUCCCACUCACCUGGCUUCACCCCUCACCUUCCAGCUAUCCUCCUUCCCCUCCCUGCUACCUUCUUAGUCUGUCUUCUCCACUUCCUUCUCAGUCCUGAAGCAGCUCCUCAGACUGAAACUGCAACUAUCUAUUCAACUCCGUGGACGCUGCCUGACCUACUGAGUUCUUCCAGCAUCUUGUGUGUGUGUAUUGCUUAGGAAAUUAACUCAUUUGCAAUUCUCUGAAACCUGGAUAAGAAGUAGAAGGAAGUUUGCUGAUGACACAAAGGUUGGAGGUGUUGUGGAUAGUCUGGAGGAUUGUCAGAGGUUACAGCAGGACAUCAAUAAGAUGCAGGACUGGGCUGAGCAGUGGCAGAUGGACCUCAACUCAGGUGAGUGUGAAGUGUUUCAUUUUGGUAGGUCCAAUUUGAAGACAGAAUGUCUUAAUGGUAAGACUCUUGGCAGUGUGGAGGAACUGAGAGAUCUUGGGGUCCGGGUCCAUAGGACACACAAAGCUGCUGUGCAGGUUGACAGUAUUGUUAAGAAGGUGUCUGGUGUGUUGGCAUUCAUCAACCGUGGGAGUGAGGUAAAGAGCCGAGAGGUAAUGUUACAGCUAUAUAGGACUCUGGUCAGACCCCACUUGGAGAACUGUGUUCAAUUCUGGUCACCUCACUACAGGAAGAAUGUGGAUAAUAUAGAGAGAGUGCAGAGGAGAUUUACAAGGGUGUUGCCUGGAUUGGGGAGCAUGGCUUAUGAGAACAGGUUGAGUGAACUCAGCCUUUUCUCCUUGGAGCGACGGAGGAUGAGAGGUGACCUGAUCGAGGUGUAUAAGAUGAUCAGGGGGCAUUGAUCGUGUGGAUAGUCAGAGGGGGCAUGAAAAGGCGCUUGGGAAUAGGUACCAAGGGAAUGUCAGGGGAAAGUUUUUCACACAGAGAGUGGUGGGUGCAUGGAAUGCACUGUUAGUGACGGUGGUGGAGGCGGAUACGAUCGGGUCUUUUAAGAGACUUCUGGAUAAGUACAUGGAGCUUAGAGACUUGGAGAGCUAUGCAGUAGGGAAAUCUGAGGCAGUUUCUACAGUAGGUUACAUGGUCAGCACAACAUUGUGGGCCGAAGGGCCUGUAAUGUGCUGUAGAUUUCUAUGUUCUAUUAACUCAAUUUGAAAAUAAUUCUCUCCCAAAUUCUGUACGGAUCUCAGAGGCAGAAAUUACCGCCCAGUAAGUUAGCUGUGCCCGUUUCGCUGAGUGAUUAACAGCCCAAAGUUUGGGUGGUGUUGGAGAGUUUGUUAACAAGCUAAAACAUGGCUUGCAAUGCUCGUGUUUGUGUGUACAGUCACAUCACUGGCAUCCAAGUGAGAGCUAUGUCUCAAUUGAAUCAAGGUGAGUUCAUUCCAAAUUCAUAAACUCCUUUGAAGACAUGAUAUUUCAAAGGAAGGGAGGGAAACAGCAGAGUGUGAGAUGGGAGAUCUUCUAGAUGCUGGAAAUCGAGAGCAACACACAUAAAACAUGGAGGAACUCAGCAGGGCAGGCAGCAUCCAUGGAGAUUUUAGACACAGAUGGCGGAAACGCUGAGUAAAGUGCUGGAAGAACUCAGCAGGUCAGGCGACAUCCGUGGAGGGGAGCGAACGGUUGGUGUUUUUGGGCCGAGGCCCUUCUUCAGGACUGGAAAGGAAGAGGGCAGAGGCCAGAGUAAAAGGUAUGGGGAGAGGGAGGAGUACAAGCUGGCAGGCGAUUGGUGAGUCCAGUUAAGAGGGAGAAGGGGGAUUGAUCUUUCUACUUCAGCCCUUUGCCUCUUCCACCUCCAAACUCACUGCAUCAAUCCCUUUCAUCCCCCUUCCCCCCCCCCACCCCAUCACCCGGUCUCACCUAUCACUUGCCAGCUUAUCCCCCUCCUCCUCUUCCUCUCCACCUUCUCAUUCUGGCUUCUACCCCCUUCCUUGUGAGUCCUGAUGAAGGGUCUUGGUCCGAACCAUCAUUUCCCACCGUAGAUACUGCUUGACCUGCAGAGGUCCUCCAACACUUUGAGUGUGUUUCAGUAGAGAGAAAUGUUAAGUGGCACAUGUGGAGCUGGAAAUAUUGGCGUGUUCCACAGCCGAGAUUCAAAUGCAGAGUUCCCGGUCGACAAUUUCAGGUCCUUGAGCUCCCCUCUUUCAGGAGAAAUCACUCAGCUUUCAACUGAUUCCACAAUGUAUGGACUCCCUUCCAAGAACUCUACAACUCAUGUUCGCAGCAUUUGAGGACCUCCGUUGGUCUGGUUUGACCAUGGACGUAUCCUUCCAGCUGUCUACGUGAUAUGCAAGCCACGUUUGUAUGGUAUGGAGAGCGAGCUAUUGCCCACGAAGCAGGCUCCCCCUCUCCACCGAGCUGAUGGUUCCUAAGGAAAGACAGAGACCGGCACAGUUUGGCACCAGCGGUGUCGCAUGAGUUGCCAGUCAGUGUUGAACUCAACAUAGUACUGCCUUAGGGACUCCAGCUCCGGAUUUUCCCUCGGGGUUUACUCUCAAAGUCCUCCCCAUGAGUGGGUGUAGCUGCAAGGCAGCGGAGGCUUAAGAUCAGAGUUUUCUUUCCCCAGAAACAGUUCCACCCUAAGCCACAAGUGAAGGCCAGGAGCUGGACUUGGUUGUCAGAGGCCUUUUGAGACACACUCCACCGGGGCCUCAGCUGGAGUAUUGUAAGCAGUUCUGAGCCUCUUAUCUAAGCAGGGAUGUGCUGACACUGGAGAGGGUUCAAAGGAGGAUCACGAAAACGAUUCCAGGAUUGAAAGGCUCAUCAUAUGAGGAGUGUUUGAUGGCUCUGGGCCUGUACUCUCUGGAAUUCAGAAGAAUUGAAACCUAUUGAAUGUUGAAAGGCCUCAAUAGAGUGGAUAUGGAGAGAAUGUUUCCUGUGGUGGGGAGUCUAAGACCAGAGGACACAGCCUCAGAAUAGAGGGAUGUCCAUUUAGAACGGAGAUGAGGAGGAAUUUCUUUAGCCAGAGAGUGGUGAACUUGUGGAAUUUGUUGCUACAGGCGGCUGUGGAGGCCGGGUCGUUGGGUGUAUUUAAGGUAGAGGUUGAUAGAUUCAUGAUUGGUCAGGGCAUGAAGGGAUACAGGGAGAAGGCAGGAGCUGAGAGGGAAAUGGAUCGGCCAUGAUGAAAUGGUGGAGCAGACUCAAUUGGCCAAUUGGCCUAAUUCUGCUCCCGUAUCUUACGGUCUUUUGCGUGCUUUGCUUUGGAUUUCCAGCAUCUGCAGUUUAUUUCAAUCCUGUGCUGUAGCCUCCACCACCAGACGAUGAUGUAGUCAGUUAAAAUGCUCUCCACAGUACACCUGUAGUCAUUUGCAAGUGUCUUUGGUGACAUAUCAGCUCUCCUCACACUCCUGAUGAAAUUUAGCCUUCUUUGUAAGUGCAUUAAUAUGCCAGGCCCAGGACAGAUCGUCAGAGAUGCUGAUGCUCAGGAACUUGAAAUUGCUCACCAACUCUGUCUCUGAUCCCUAUAUAAGGACUGUGUGUUCCCUCAUCUUACCCCUUCUGAAGUUCACAAUCUAUUCUCUAGUCCUACUGACAUUGAGUUCAAGGUUGUUGCUGUGACACCACUCAAUCAGCUGAUCCAUCUUGCUCCUGUAUGUCUCAUCACCAUCUGAAAUUAUGCCAGCAAUAGCUGUGACCAAAUAAACUCCUAACCCAUACGUUUUUGGAUUGUAGUAGGAAACUGGAGUACCUGAAGGAACCCGUGUGGUCAUGGGGAGAAUGUACAAACUCCUUAGACAGGGGCAGGAAAUGGACCUUUUAGGGAGUACUCUGAAGAUGGGCCAUAUAGUAAACACCACCUUCAGCAACCAACAUUCAGAUUAAAUUUAAAAUGCAACUCGGAACCAGGCACUUAAUUGAUAUGUCUGCAUAUGCAUGAAAGCAAUCGACAGUCAAUUACAUGAAUGGAGUGCACUCAUUUUGGGUGUAUUGGUGGUGGCAAUAUCCAGGAAUUUGCAAUUCAAAAAAGGCAUUAUGAGGAUAGAAAUUGUCAUGUUCCCUUUGUGCUUUCACAUACAAAAUGCAUUAUGUCGGGCAGUAGCAGUCUCUCAGCAUCUAUGGACAGGAGUAAAUAUUCAACAUUUCGGGCCAGGACCCUUCAUCAGAUUGGAGGAAAAAUCUGGGAAGUCAGAGUAAGGUGGAGGGGAGGGGAGGAAGUACGAGGUGGUAGGAGAUAGGUGAAACCAGGAGUGGGUCAAUUAAUGAGUUUGGAAGCUGAUUGGUGCAAGAGAUAAAGGGCUGGAGAACGGGAAUCUGAUAGGAAAGGCAGGAGAUCAUGGAAGAAUGAGAAUGGGGAAGAGGAAGGUGAUGGGCAGGUAGGCAGAUAAGGUGAGAGAGGGAGAAGGGAUUGGAGAAUGGUGAAGGGGGUGGUGCAAUUUCUGGAAGUUCGAGGGAUCAACUUUCAUGCCAUCAGGUUAACGAAUACAAGGUGCCAAUCCUUCAGAUGAGUGAGGUCUCAUCGUGGCAGUAGAAGGCACAGAUAGACAAGUCAGGAUGGGCAAGGGAAGUAAAAUUGACAAGCGUGGCCACCAGGAGAUCCGCUUUUUCUGGCAGGCGCUUGGCGAAGCGGUCUCCCAGUUCUACCCUCCUCCUACAAAUCCGACCUCAAGGCCCCAGCAACAUUCUCAAGAAUAAGGUUUCUUCAGAGACAGGAAAAGCAGACAAGAUGCACUUCGUUUGAAAAAUACAGACAUUUUAUUUUUUUUUCCACUUCAUGCAGCAACAGUCGAGUCCAGCUGUUUACAAAGCAGUGCCCCCACCCUCGAGGGUGGGGGGGGGGUCAUCCUCGCCUGCUCCACAACCCCGGUGUAAAUUAUUUCAUAAGCACAACCUCCAAACUGCUCCUGCGCCUUUGACUUAACUUUCACACCGGUAAUACUAUCCGCGUGGCUUGUUUCGCCUGCGUAUACACUUAUACAUUUGAACUAUAAUAUAAACUUCUGCAAAAAAGAAGCAUUUUUUAAUAUUUCACACAUCUCCCAUGUGUCAAUGGAAGCACUUCUAACCCUUUCCCCACUCCCACAUAAUUUCCCCUCUCAUCCCAGAUUCCCCACCUACUCCCAGUGUGAAAAUGGUAGGUAAACCAAGAGGAGCUGGCUCUCAUUUGGUUAUAGUCCGUCUUUAUCGACAACAAAAGAUUUUACUGACUGAAAUUUUUGAUCAAGAAAAAUCAAAGAAUUUUACCUAUGCACCUUUAAAAAAAAAUCGCCCAUAAUUGUUCUAUCAAUUUAUAACUCAUCAGAAUAACUGAUGGCAAGGUUGAGAAAGGCAUUUUUAUUGGUCACCAAACAGGUCAUCAAUGACAGGCAGUUCAAAGAACUUCUAGUGGGACAGGAGAAAAUCACACAGAAGGCAUUCAAGGAUGUUGCUGAAAAUUUUCUUGGCAACUACAGAGCACCAAACUACGUGCAGUUGGUUGACAACGUGCUUCUAGCAUACAAAACCAUGAAGUGCAAUCUGUCACUAAAGAUUUAUUUUCUGCUUUCCCAUUUAGACUUCUUCCCUGCAAACCUUGGCACUGUCGGUGACGAGAAGGUGAAAGGUUUCACGACAUUGUGGUGAUGGAGAAAUGAUAUCAGGGUAACUGGAAUCAGUCAUCGCUGGCUGAUUAUCGUCAGACACUUAAGUGAGAAGCCUCGAACACUGAGAACUAACUAACGAAAGUCACCAACUUAGCUUAGUUGAACUAUUGUAAAGCUUCAGCACCAUUACACAAUUAAAUGCAUUAUAUUCUAUAAACGUUAAUCUCUUGUUUCUCCAAAUUCCUACGCGAUACAAGUAGUCUGAAGUUAUAUUUGUGUUCAUCUUCAAGCGGUCUAUCGUAAACAAAUUAAAAAAAAAAAUCUGAGAUGCAACACUUCCAGA
This is a long non-coding RNA of Hypanus sabinus (Atlantic stingray), 9359 nucleotides long. RefSeq lists it as uncharacterized. Lineage: Eukaryota; Metazoa; Chordata; Chondrichthyes; Myliobatiformes; Dasyatidae. The record is from RefSeq and is a predicted model, not a curated record. The transcript is spliced from 2 exons.